RNAcentral lists this ribosomal RNA (450 nucleotides) under uncultured bacterium. RNAcentral's name for it is "partial 16S ribosomal RNA". It matches the Rfam family "Bacterial small subunit ribosomal RNA", at positions 338 to 795 of the family's 1533-position model. The record is from RNAcentral.
CCUACGGGGGGCUGCAGUAGGGAAUAUUGGACAAUGGGCGAAAGCCUGAUCCAGCCAUGCCGCGUGAUAGAUGAAGGCCCUCUGGGUUGUAAAUAUCUUUUAUCUGGGAAGAAACAAUCUUAUUCUUAAGAUCUUGACGGUACCAGAGGAAUAAGCACCGGCUAACUCCGUGCCAGCAGCCGCGGUACUACGGAGGGUGCAAGCGUCACUGGGUUUCACUGGGGCGUAGGCGGGCUUAUAAGGCAGGAGUGAAAGCUCCGGGCUUAACUUGGAAACUGCCAUUGAUACUGCCAGUCUUGAAUGUCGUAGAGGUAAGCGGAAUGUUGCAUGUAGCGGUGAAAUGCUUAGAUAUGUUACAGAACACCAAUGGCGAAGGCAGCUUACUAUGCGAUGAUUGACGCUGAGGCACGAAAGCGUGGGGAGCAAACAGGAUUAGAUACCCCAGUAGUC